GACGAACGCUGGCGGCGUGCCUAACACAUGCAAGUCGAACGGAGAGAUACGAGAGCUUGCUCUUGUACAUCUUAGUGGCACACGGGUGAGUAACGCGUAAACAACCUGCCCAACGGAUGGGGACAACAGACGGAAACGACUGCUAAUACCCAAUAGACUCCGGUUUCGCAUGAAACCGACAGGAAAGGUGGCCUCUCGAAGAAGCUACCGCCGCCGGAGGGGUUUGCGUUUGAUUAGUUGGUUGGUGGGGUAACGGCCUACCAAGACGAUGAUCAAUAGCCGGUCUGAGAGGAUGAACCGCCACACUGGAACUGGGACACGGGCCAGACUCCUUCGGGAGGCAGCAGGGGGGAAUCUUCCGGAAUGGACGGAAGGCUGGCGGAGCAACGCCGCGGGAGGGAAGAAGGCCUUCGGGUUGGAAAGCUCUGUUAUUCGGGAAGAACGAUUCGUUUGUAAAUAAUGAACGGAAGUGACGGUACCGAAAGAGAAAGCCACGGCUAACUACGUG
RNAcentral lists this ribosomal RNA (508 nucleotides) under uncultured bacterium. RNAcentral describes it as "partial 16S ribosomal RNA". It matches the Rfam family "Bacterial small subunit ribosomal RNA", at positions 28 to 507 of the family's 1533-position model. The record is from RNAcentral.